AACCGUGGAAAGAACAGAAAAUAGCAGCCAUGGAUGAGCUCCAUUUGGCCAAGCUUUUAUGGCUUAUAUAGAUGAUGAAAAUUGAGACUUGGACCUAGAACGGAAAGAAAUCGAUUUAUGGACGAGUAUGUCCUUUUCACAUUUGUGGUAUCGAGAGUUUCCAGGUUAGCUCGAGUUGGAGGCCGUCAGAGAUAUUAUCACCUUAUCGAGUUAACGUUAUCGGAGUAAGUAAACUCAAGUGAUUCGAGUCUAUGGCAUGUAUAGGGUUUUAAUGUGAGUAUGUAAUAUUAUGAUUUAGCCAAAGGCAUUGGCUUGUUAUUAAGGUAGUAUUAGUCAUGUAAAUUGGCCUAUGUCGGCUAAUGACAUUAUGGGCCCAUAUGAUUAUUCUUAUGCAUGUAUGUUAUUAUCUCUUGUGAUGUGGCUUACAACAUGUAUACCUAGAGAUUGAAUUGAGAUUCAUUGAUGAGCUAGUAACUAAUGCAGGAUUAAGUGAUUGGUAAAUAGAUAAUAA
Long non-coding RNA from Gossypium arboreum, 511 nucleotides. RefSeq lists it as uncharacterized. NCBI's taxonomy places the organism in Eukaryota, Viridiplantae, Streptophyta, Magnoliopsida, Malvales, Malvaceae. The transcript has 3 exons. The record is from RefSeq and is a predicted model, not a curated record.